Molecule: ribosomal RNA, 230 nt
Filed under: uncultured bacterium
Lineage: Bacteria
Description: partial 16S ribosomal RNA
Rfam family: Bacterial small subunit ribosomal RNA
Source: RNAcentral
UGGGCAACCUGCCCCAGACUCAGGGAUAACCCCGGGAAACCGGGGCUAAUACCCGAUACUCCGGUCGAACCACAUGGCUCGAUCGGGAAAGCUCCGACGGUCUGGGAUGGGCCCGCGGCCUAUCAGCUUGUUGGUGGGGUAACGGCCUACCAAGGCGACGACGGGUAGCUGGUCUGAGAGGGCGACCGGCCACACUGGGACUGAGACACGGCCCAGACUCCGUACGGGAG